RNAcentral lists this ribosomal RNA (501 nucleotides) under uncultured bacterium. RNAcentral describes it as "partial 16S ribosomal RNA". It matches the Rfam family "Bacterial small subunit ribosomal RNA", at positions 30 to 523 of the family's 1533-position model. The record is from RNAcentral.
AUUGAACGCUGGCGGCAGGCUUAACACAUGCAAGUCGAGCGGGGGAAGGUAGCUUGCUACCGGACCUAGCGGCGGACGGGUGAGUAAUGCUUAGGAAUCUGCCUAUUAGUGGGGGACAACAUCUCGAAAGGGAUGCUAAUACCGCAUACGUCCUACGGGAGAAAGCAGGGGAUCUUCGGACCUUGCGCUAAUAGAUGAGCCUAAGUCGGAUUAGCUAGUUGGUGGGGUAAAGGCCUACCAAGGCGACGAUCUGUAGCGGGUCUGAGAGGAUGAUCCGCCACACUAGGACUGAGACACGGCCCAGACUCCUACGGGAGGCAGCAGUGGGGAAUAUUGGACAAUGGGGGGAACCCUGAUCCAGCCAUGCCGCGUGUGUGAAGAAGGCCUUUUGGUUGUAAAGCACUUUAAGCGAGGAGGAGGCUACUCUAGUUAAUACCUAGGGAUAGUGGACGUUACUCGCAGAAUAAGCACCGGCUAACUCUGUGCCAGCCGCCGCGGUAA